This 1540-nucleotide long non-coding RNA is filed under the name Gadus morhua (Atlantic cod). RNAcentral's name for it is "lncRNA (ENSGMOG00000023051.1)". The record is from RNAcentral. Lineage: Eukaryota; Metazoa; Chordata; Actinopteri; Gadiformes; Gadidae.
GACGGUGUACACCUCAGAGCAGAGCCUGGUGGGCCCCCCUGGACCCGGACCCCCCGGGACCAGCUCCCCUGGUGGGGGGCCGGACCCCGACGGACCCCCGGAACCAGGUACCAGACCCUCUGCACCGGGGCCGUACCUGCUGGACUCACCUGUCUGCCUGUCUGUCUGUCUGUCUGUCUGUCUGUCUGUCUGUCUGUCUGUCUGUCUGUCUGUCUGUCCUCCAUUUUAAAUUGACCUAAUGGCUUCAUGUUUGAGCCACGCCCAACUCGCCUGUGUGUGUGUGUGUGUGUGUGUGUGUGUGUGUGUGUGUGUGUGUGUGUGUGUGUGUGUGUGUGUGUGUGUGUGUGUGUGUGUGUGUGUGUGUGUGUGUGUGUGUGUGUGUGUGUGCGCGUCGUUUUCUCUGUGUGUGUCUCUGUUUGUGUGUAUGUGAAUCUCUGUGUGUGUGUCUCUGACCUCUGUGUGUGUGUGUGUGUGUGUGUCUGACGUGUGUGUGUUUGUGCGUGUGUGUAUAUGUGUGUCUCUGUGUGUGUCCCCAGGUGUGUGUGGUCUGGAGCCGGCCUGCGGUCUGGGCUCUGACCUGCUGUCUCUGUACCGGAGGGCGGAGCAAUGUGACAUCACCAUCAGAGUGGGCGGGCACGUCUUCCCCUGUCACAGGGCGAUCCUGUGCGCGCGCUCCCAGUACUUCCGGGCCAUGCUGAGCGGCAGCUGGAUGGAGAGCUGCACCCAGGACAUCACUCUGCAGGGGUGGGUCUGAGCAGCCUUCACCCCCUCACGGGGUCGUCUCUUUAAUGUUUCCGUGACGACACACCGACCCUCCUCCUCCAUCGGCUCUGCCGGGCGCUGCGUUCCCGUGGUAACGUGGUCCUCUCCUCCUCCCUCCAGGCUGGGCCCGGAGGAGAUGGAGGUCCUGCUGCAGUUCAUGUACGGCGCCAUCGCCGACCUCCCGCCCGGAGCCAGCGCCAGGUGGUGGACGGGGUGCAGAAGAGCAUCGUGGAGUGUCUGUCCCUCACCAGCGCUCUGGGUCUCCUCAAGCUGCACGCCACCUGCAGGAGGUGAGAGAACCACAUCCUCUCUCCUCUCUCCUCCUCUCCUCUCUCUCCUAUCUCCUAUCCUCCCCUCUCCUCUCCUCCCUAUCUCCUCUCCUCUCCUCCCCUCUUCUCUCCUCCUCUCUCCUCCCUCUCUCCUAUCACCUAUCUCCUCCCCUCUCCUCUCUCCUCCCUAUCUCCUCUCCUCCCUCUCUCUCUCUUCCUCUCCUCCUCUCCUCCCUAUCUCCUCUCCCCCUCUCUCCUCCCUCUCUCCUCUCUCCCCCUCUCUCCUCUCCUCUCUCCUCCUCUCCUCCCUAUCUCCUCUCCUCCUCUCCUCCCUCUCUCCUCUCUCCCUCCACUCCCCUCUCUCCUCUCCUCCUCUCUCCUACCUCCUCCCCUCCCCUCCCCUCUCCUCCCUAUCUCCUCUCCUAUCUCCUCUCCUCUCUCCUCUCUCCUGCUUCCUCCCCUCUGUAUUCAGACUCAUCACUCCCACUGGUAUAAACCCUUCCCUGUAA